UUACUUUUUGCGACUCAGACUCAUGUAGCCAUCAUCCUCGGAUUGAUUCUCCCCGCUGUUGCAGUGCAAGGCCACCGGUUUCGUUGCUGCUUCCUCGAACUCCGAUAUGAUUUCGUCGAGGACUUUGAUGGGCUCAGCUUCAGUUGUUACCGUUACGACCCCUUGUCUGAAAGAGACUGAAGAAUUGAGAAGAGGUGCGAAGAAACAACAACAGCAACAAGAGAAGAAGAAAAAGGGAAAAGGGAAGAUGAGAACGAGAACAGCAACAACGUGAGGCUGGCUGGCCGAGAGUGUGAGAGAACACUAUUCGCGCACUCCGUCCUACUCCUUCCACCUUAUCUUCCUUCAUUCAUAUUUUCUAUACACCGUGGGGGCCGGCCUGCUGGGAGAGAGAGGAGUUUGGGUCAGGCGCAUUCACACACAAUUUUCAUAUGCCCUCCUCCCGUCUCUCCCUACGUUCGCAGGCUAUAUAUAAACAUGGUUUUAGUUGAACAGAAAAAUGUAUAAAACUUUUCGCAAUUGCAUUCUAGGUUGGCCUAAAAAAGUUUGAUUGGAACGGAUGCACUGACGAUAAUAAUAAAAGUUUGCAAUAUUUAA
This is a long non-coding RNA of Drosophila pseudoobscura, 597 nucleotides long. RefSeq lists it as uncharacterized. The transcript is spliced from 2 exons. Lineage: Eukaryota; Metazoa; Arthropoda; Insecta; Diptera; Drosophilidae. The record is from RefSeq and is a predicted model, not a curated record.